This 253-nucleotide ribosomal RNA is filed under the name uncultured bacterium. RNAcentral describes it as "partial 16S ribosomal RNA". It matches the Rfam family "Bacterial small subunit ribosomal RNA", at positions 524 to 776 of the family's 1533-position model. The record is from RNAcentral.
GACAGAGGGUGCAAACGUUGUUCGGAUUUACUGGGCGUAAAGCGCGUGUAGGCGGCUUCGUAAGUUGGAUGUGAAAUCCCACGGCUCAACCGUGGACGUGCAUCCAAAACUACGUCGCUGGAGUCUCGGAGAGGAAGGUGGAAUGCUUGGUGUAGAGGUGAAAUUCGUAGAUAUCAAGCAGAACACCUGCGGCGAAGGCGGCCUUCUGGACGAUGACUGACGCUGAGACGCGAAAGCGUGGGGAGCAAACAGG